RNAcentral lists this ribosomal RNA (1134 nucleotides) under endocytic bacterium Noc6. Its description in RNAcentral is "bacterial SSU rRNA". It matches the Rfam family "Bacterial small subunit ribosomal RNA", at positions 47 to 1182 of the family's 1533-position model. Lineage: Bacteria; Pseudomonadati; Pseudomonadota; Gammaproteobacteria. The record is from RNAcentral.
CCUAACACAUGCAAGUCGAACGGUAACAUUUCUAGCUUGCUAGAAGAUGACGAGUGGCGGACGGGUGAGUAAUGCUUGGGAAUUUGCCUUUAGGUGGGGGAUAACAGUUGGAAACGACUGCUAAUACCGCAUAUUAGCUACGGCUAAAAGGGGGCUUCGGCUCUCGCCUUUAGAGAAGCCCAAGUGGGAUUAGAUAGUUGGUGAGGUAAAGGCUCACCAAGUCAGCGAUCCCUAGCUGGUCUGAGAGGAUGAAUCAGCCACACUGGAACUGAGACACGGUCCAGACUCUACGGGAGGCAGCAGUGGGGAAUAUUGCACAAUGGGCGCAAGCCUGAUGCAGCCAUGCCGCGUGUGUGAAGAAGGCCUUCGGGUUGUAAAGCACUUUCAGCGAGGAGGAAAGUUUAGUAGUUAAUACCUGCUAGAUGUGACGUUACUCGCAGAAGAAGGACCGGCUAACUCCGUGCCAGCAGCCGCGGUAAUACGGAGGGUCCGAGCGUUAAUCGGAAUUACUGGGCGUAAAGCGUACGCAGGCGGCCAUUUAAGUCAGAUGUGAAAGCCCCGGGCUCAACCUGGGAACUGCAUUUGAAACUGGAUGGCUAGAGUGCGACAGAGGGUGGUAGAAUUUCAGGUGUAGCGGUGAAAUGCGUAGAGAUCUGAAGGAAUACCAAUGGCGAAGGCAGCCACCUGGGUCGACACUGACGCUCAUGUACGAAAGCGUGGGUAGCAAACAGGAUUAGAUACCCUGGUAGUCCACGCCGUAAACGAUGUCUACUAGCAGCUUGGNGCUUAAGCGCUGUUUUGCGAAGUAACGCGAUAAGUAGACCGCCUGGGGAGUACGGCGCAAGGUUAAAASUCAAAUGAAUUGACGGGGGCCUGUACAAGCGGUGGAGCAUGUGGUUUAAUUCGAUGCAACGCGAAGAACCUUACCAUCUCUUGACAUCAAGAGAAUUUGCUAGAGAUAGCUUAGUGCUUCGGGAAUUUUGAGAUAGGUGCUGCAUGGUUGUUGUCAGCUCGUGUUGUGAAAUGUUGGGUUAAGUCCUGCAACGAGUGCAACCCUUAUCGUUAGUUGUUAGCAGGUUAUGUUGAGAAUUUUAAGGAGACUGCGGGUGAGAAACGGGAGGAAGGUGGGGAUGA